GACAGAGGCCCCAAGCGUUAGGCGGAAUCACUGGGCUUAAAGCGUGUGUAGGCGGACGCCUAAGUGUCUUGUGAAAUCCCACGGCUCACCCGUGGAACUGCUGGGCAUACUGGGCGUCUUGGGCCAACUAGGGGCAGCCGGAACAAGCGGUGGAGCGGUGAAAUGCGUAGAUAUCAGGAAGAACACCCGUGGCUAAGGCGGCUCUCUAGUACGGUACUGACGCUGAGACGCGAAAGCGUGGGGAGCGAACAGG
RNAcentral lists this ribosomal RNA (253 nucleotides) under uncultured bacterium. RNAcentral describes it as "partial 16S ribosomal RNA". It matches the Rfam family "Bacterial small subunit ribosomal RNA", at positions 524 to 776 of the family's 1533-position model. The record is from RNAcentral.